UUCUUUGUUUGUUAAAAUUCUCAAUGCUUUCUUUUUCCUACAACCCUCUCAAUACUUUCUUUCAAAACUUCACAACUGUCGUAGAUGACCAAGUACAGCGGCUGUGGUGGUUCGAUCAUGUUCAUCACUAACAAUUUACGAGAUUACCGGUGGGGCGGUAAUCCGUUAUGGCGGACAAGGGGAUGGUGAGACGAUUCACAACGCCGACGGGCGGCGAUUAGGGCCCUACAAGUAGAAUAUGGCUGCUAACAAGUCAAAUGGAGUAGUUGACCUCCGCCGAUAUACAAGGUUGCUCAGAUCAGUAGAAUCAAAGGUUAAUCGGCAAACAACUUCCUGACAAUCAGGAUUCUGUGCGCCGUUAGCUGAGGCGGUGGUGGUGCACGUGUCAGCGGUGUAUAUGGUGGCGGUGGUGAACAUGGUUGUUGUUUUCUUCUACCUGGUAAAAUUUAAGAUUUUGUUCUUUGUAAUCCCGCUUACUCUUUUUGUUGUUUAGUUACACACUUUUUAAUCUAAAAUUUUACAUAAAAUCUUUAUAAAUUAGAAUUGAUUUUUUGUUUUGUUUUUGGUGCUCAGUGAAAUGCAGGGUGCUUCAUGGGUUGAAUAGAGAACUUUGCAAUGAUAUUAGUAGCAAGCUUAUAAGAUUUAUGCAUAAGUAGACAUAAAAUACUAAACUUUUGUGUUAAAUGCUCUUCUAUUUAUCUUAUAGUUAUGUUGCAGAAUAGGAUAAUCCAGUUGGGACAGGAUACAGUUUUGUGGAGGAUGAAGAGUUAUUGGUGAAAAUAGAUGAAGAAGCUGCUAGGGACUUAACUACAUUGUUGAUUAAAUUAUUUAACAGAUAUGUCGUACUGCAGGUUUAGUACGUCCUAUGACAAAUACUCACAUCAUCACAUGACCAGAGAGAUCUGGGACAACGUCGACACCAACGAUUAGUUUCAAGAAAGGGAAAAUUAAAGGAGAAGCAGAAGAUAGAUUUUUUUAUCUGAACCCAAAUAAAGAUAAAGUGAAGCGGAAGAACUGAAUCGGCGAUGCAGAGAUAUGCAGGUAAUGCAUUCUGAACUAUUUUCCGUAGUUUUUUUGGGGGUCUUAACUCUUCGCUUAGGGUUUUUUUUCUUGCAUCUUUGGAUGAUUAAAUUUGUUUUGGAGUUUGUGAUAUUAGGGCAUUGAGAUGAAUGAUUACUUGAUGUUGCAUUACUUAGUUUUUACUUAGUUAUGGUGGUGGUCUGGGUUAAUCGGUUGUUCGUGGGUUAGUUUGCGGGUCACACCGGUCACGACUCAUUAGAGCUAACGGGUCAAGUAAAAUUGGAAGUGAGUUUAAAGUAUUUACUUGCAUACUCACAUGAGGAAAAUAAAGAGUUUCCAGGGUACAUGUGAUUGUAUACAUGGUUAUCGUUGGAAGUAUUUAUGUUUUUAUAUGUUAUCUCUUAGUUAACAGUUUAUUAGUUAGAAAUAGUAUUAUAGUUUGACCAAAUAUAAUGGAGAUAGAAUAUGCCAAUAUGGGUCAGUAUGUUUGACCGAGUAAUAAUCCAUUGUGAACUCUUCUAACAAGUAAGUGAUUAUCAAGUUAAACUGAUGCGUACGAGAUUGACUCUAGACAUGUUUUUGUGCUUGCUACAUGCUUUUGUUCUUUGUAUUUUCCUAUGGGUUAAAGAUUUGGUUUGAUUUGGGUUGUAUGCUAAUUUAGGUUGCUAGAUUUUCGAUCCGUUUGGUUUUAUUCUGCCUUUAGGAAAACUUUUUUUUAUGUUAUAUUUAGCUUAGUCUGGGUAUUGUUGAAAUUGGCAUUGCCCCUAUAUAAAUAAUAUCUUCAACAUUUAAAGGACCUAAGACUUUCGAUUCACAGUCAUUAACCUUUGAGGAAAGAAAGGUCAACCCGCUCCACCUCCAGGUACACAUGCAUAAAGGCCAGACCAAAAAACAAUUAGCCAAUUACAAAUCUCCUCGGGUACGUGUUAAACAUUUAUAUGAAUGAUACAUUUUGACCAAUACAAUACGAUACAUUUUGACCAAUACAAUACAUUUUGACUAAUACAAUACGAUACAUUUUGACCAAUACAAUACAUUUUGACUAACAACAAGCACUCCUCUGUUUUUCCAGAUGCAAGUGAUGACCUGUCAACAAAAGGAAAACUUUUUUCAUGAAAGAAUUUCACACGCCUAUGUUUGUAUUGUAAGUCGUAGGAUAACGGAUGUAAGUGGUUUACAAAAUGGUGUUAUAGUUCAUUUUGAACCCAGUUUUCUACACAUUGUUCAUGAUACAUGAAACAACACCAAAAAUCAAUUAAACUUUAAAAUUGCAACUCCCUAUCCCAGUUUUUCAAAGAUGGAAGACAUUUUGACUUGGAAUAAUACGUUUUGAUUCGAGGGUAUUUAAUUCGAGUUACUUUGUGUUUUAGCCAGCCGCAAUGACGGAGGGACUGGUACGUUUUCUUUACCUUUUAUUUGGUUCAACUUUCGAUAUAAAUUUUGCUCAAGAACCACAUAUCUACGUUUCGAGUUAGUAUAGUUUUUAACAUAGAUUUUUUUGGGCUAAAAUAGAAUAUAAAUAAUUGGACGGUAUAAAUUCCAGUUACUCUAUUUCGACGUAAAUUUAGUUCGGAAAGAGUUAGGUACGCCGCCGCAACGCGCGGCGGGUACAAAUACUAGUUGAGGCUUGAAAAGGAUGGCCAGCCAAAAGAAUAAUAAAUAGCUUUUCUUUCAAUAUUGCCUAAUUUUUUUAUAUAACUGUUAAAUUAUUUAUUAAAACUUAAACGUGAGGAGGCAUAUAUUCGACACUUGCCCGAAAACGAAAAAGCACGAGAUUUGCGAAAUGUGGGGUUGGGAGAUGACACCCAUUUAAUUUAAGUUUUUUUCCAAUGUUUAGUUGUUUUUUAUUUUGCUAUGUAAUAUAUUUUUUAAUUUUAAUGAAAUUUAAUUUAGUGUUUUAUUGUUAAUUUCUAAUUU
Molecule: long non-coding RNA, 2937 nt
Filed under: Helianthus annuus (common sunflower)
Lineage: Eukaryota; Viridiplantae; Streptophyta; Magnoliopsida; Asterales; Asteraceae
Description: hypothetical non coding rna
Source: RNAcentral